This 198-nucleotide unclassified non-coding RNA is filed under the name uncultured fungus. Its description in RNAcentral is "sequence contains ITS1". Lineage: Eukaryota; Fungi. The record is from RNAcentral.
UUGAUUAUUGGUAACCGACUCAGAGAGGCCACUAGGUUUCAAGAUAGUUUGUAUGGGCCUGCGGCGGGCACCUCCCCUAAGGGAGGUUGCGGCCCCGCCCUGGGGCCGCCCGCCGAGGCAACGCUCACGGGUAUGUUCACAGUGGUUUGGGAGUCUUUCAACUCUGUAAUGAUCCCUCCGCUGGUUCACCAACGGAGA